UUCAAAUGCGAGAAAAUUAUCGUAUUAAUUUGUUGUUAUUAUUACUCAGUCGCAUGUUCCGUUAAAAUAUCUGAUAAUUGAAGAUACAUAAUCGUACGAAGUCUGGUCUCUGAAUCUGCAUAGAUCACUCACGCUCUUAACAUGCCUUAGAUUUAUAACGAGAACGAAAUCAACUAGCUGUCCAAAGAAAUUUACGCAAUUUCGGGUCAGUGCUAUUAAUGACUACUUGCCUAUUUUCACUGGCUUAAAAUACGGGAAUAAUCGAACCAGAAUUGUAACCAAAAUAACGGAAAUUGAGUUAACUACUGAAACGGUGAGAUUUAACGAAAGUGCUGCAACAGGGAGUCGCGAUCGCGAGCUAUCUCACCAAUGUGGGAGAGAGGUAGAGAGAGAGAGAGAGAGAAGACUCUUCUUCAGGAGAACUAUGCGCAUCUACUGUUCACCGGAGAAGUCCAGACUUUAGUACGCACCGCGCAACGCAAUGCAUAUCCCUUGAAUCUUACAGCGAUUAUUAUUACGUACAGAUCGUGAUGCGGGCAAAUCUUGUCAGCAGUAACUCUCAUCGUGUGGCUCCGUUUUCUUUUAUAAAACGAAUAUCAAAUGACGUUUCACUGUGUUAAAAAAUACUCUCAUUUUAUACAUAAGACAUAUCUUUUUGAAAAAGAAUUGAUACGCUGAAAGAAUGAUAUUUAUUUUAAGAUGAAAACGAAUCAUAGAUAUAUAUUGGAUUUUUGACAAACACCACUGUUAUAUGAGAUACUUCUGGCCAGUCCGUAGCCUCGAGAAUGAUCACGCGACUUCUUUUGACGUCAUUUAUUGUUUUCCAACCAAUUCUUCCUGGUUUGAUAUAGAAAAAUAUGAGACCAUUGAAACGGAGGUGUCCCCUAUUCUUUGUCGUACUUAUUGCAAAUAGUUGCUUACCAAAUGUGAGAAUCUGUAGUCUUCCGUAAAAAUGAUAAGUUUGACCGAAUCCCCGCUUAUUUUAUCACUUGCUUCGGUAACCAAUAAGAAACAUUCGCAACUAAAAAUGUAGCAAAUAGGAGUAUGUGAUUCUGCAGAAGGUGCCAGUUAUGACGUGUCUCUUAUAGAUACGUAGAUACAUUAAAUAUAUUUUAAAGGAGGAAAAGAUUCUUUUCUUUAAAAAGCUAGUUAUUAUAUUGUGUGCUGUGUGGGAAGGUAGAGUUCUAAAAAACAGACUAGAUUAUUAUGCUAGGGAUCACUAGCGUUCAGAUUUUGUUCCUUUGUUAAAUUCUUUACCUUGAAUAAGACUUCUUAUUUGUAAAUAGACAG
RNAcentral lists this unclassified non-coding RNA (1290 nucleotides) under Bombus terrestris (buff-tailed bumblebee). Its description in RNAcentral is "misc RNA ENSBTSG00005032618.1". The record is from RNAcentral. Lineage: Eukaryota; Metazoa; Arthropoda; Insecta; Hymenoptera; Apidae.